AGCAGAGAAUUGUUUAUAAAAAAACAAUAUACUGAAACUGUAUCGUAACAAAUGACGAAAAUUUUGCGGAAAUUAUCUGUUGCAGUAAAGGCUUGCUCAGCUUUCAUUGUAACGGUGUUUGAAUACUCGAGUGAAAUAGGUUAGUUACAAUGACAACUAUGAAAGAAUGCAUACCUAAAAACAAAAGCAGCAAAAAUUGGAAACAAGAAAAAGAACUUGAAGAAGCAGGAACAGCUCUUGUUGUUGUAAACAAAAAUGGCAAAGAGAUGAAUCCUUAUAUUCCACAUUACAUUAGAAAUGCAUUGUGGUAUGUUGAAGCUACUGAAAAUUAGCGCUAAGUACACGAACAGUAUCAUCGUUUUUGAUGAACUUGUUCAAUUGAAUUUUUUAAUAAAUUAUGACGCUUGAAGAGAUAGAUAGGUCAAUUAUGACCCUUCGGAAUACUGAAGGACUGUUAAAGAAUAUCAAAAAACUGAAGCUGUCAAAAGCGAAAUGCUAUCAGAAAAACUCAAUGCUAAAGGAGACAAAAAUGAAUAUACUGAUGAUAUCGAAAUACCUGGACCCAAAGUAGGCUCUAAACAAUGAAUUGUUGUUAAAAAUCUAUGAAUACGCGAAGAUACAGCUAAGUAUCUCAGAAAUUUGGAUGUUAACAGUUAUGAUCCUAAAGCACGAUCAAUGCAAAAAAAAUCAAAUACUGGGAAAGAUGUAGAAGUUGAUUAUAUAGGAGAGAAUCUCGUUCGAAUCACAGGAGACUUUCAAAAUAUGAUAAAAAAAAAGGUGAAGUGAACGAGAAAUUUAAAAGAAGAUUAUUUGCUAAGUAUUGAGGAGAAGAAUAUCUUCCAAUUUCAAGCACAGACUAAAAAUUUAUUGAUGUAUUUAUGAAUUUUAAUAAAGAAAUAUGAUAGUGAUAAUUGAAAAAAUUUUAUUCAUUUAAGUCAAUUCUUAAAGUAGGGGACUGUGAUCCUAUCUUUUUCAAGUGUCAGACAAUCAAUGAGAUCUAUCUUUAGAGCAAUUUAUAUACUGUUUGUUGUGAAUUUAACGACUUACUCAGAUUGAUAUUUAUGUUUUUGGAGUACUGAUAGUUUUAAUGCUCCGAAAAGUUUGGGAAGGUCUUCAAAACAUAACAUCAGCUCAUACAACAACCAAAAAGACUAAAUUAUUUUUGUAUUUAUUUUAGAAUGAACAUGAAUAAAUUUUAAAAUUAUUUAAAAUACAA
Molecule: long non-coding RNA, 1216 nt
Filed under: Chelonus insularis
Lineage: Eukaryota; Metazoa; Arthropoda; Insecta; Hymenoptera; Braconidae
Description: uncharacterized LOC118069768, transcript variant X2
Source: RNAcentral